This 480-nucleotide ribosomal RNA is filed under the name uncultured bacterium. RNAcentral describes it as "SSU rRNA". It matches the Rfam family "Bacterial small subunit ribosomal RNA", at positions 26 to 518 of the family's 1533-position model. The record is from RNAcentral.
AGAAUCAACGCUGGCGGCGUGCCUAACACAUGCAAGUCGAACGAGAAAGUGGAGCAAUCCAUGAGUAAAGUGGCGACCGGGUGAGUAACACGUGACUAACCUACCUUCAAGUGGGGGAUAACCUAGGGAAACCUGGGCUAAUACCGCAUAACAUCCUUAGAGUGGAAACUCCGGGGAUCAAAGGAGCAAUUCGCUGGAAGAGGGGGUCGCGGCUGAUUAGCUAGUUGGCGGGGUAAUGGCCCACCAAGGCUUUGAUCGGUAGCCGGCCUGAGAGGGCGCGACGGCCGACGACUGGAACUGAAACACGGUCCAGACUCCUACGGGAGGCAGCAGUGGGGAAUUUUGCGCAAUGGGGGAAACCCUGACGCAGCAACGCCGCGUGGAGGAUGAAGUCCCUUGGGACGUAAACUCCUUUCGACCGGGACGAUAAUGACGGUACCGGUAGAAGAAGCCCCGGCUAACUUCGUAGCCAGCAGCCGC